This is a small nuclear RNA of Pteronotus mesoamericanus, 107 nucleotides long. The record is from RefSeq and is a predicted model, not a curated record. NCBI's taxonomy places the organism in Eukaryota, Metazoa, Chordata, Mammalia, Chiroptera, Mormoopidae.
GUGCUGACUUCUGAAGCAUAUAUACUAAAAUUGGAAUGAUUCAGAGAAGAUUAGCAUGGCUCCUGCACAAGGAUAACACAAAAAUUAGUGAAGUGUUCGAUAUUUUU